This 26-nucleotide non-coding RNA is filed under the name Homo sapiens (human). Lineage: Eukaryota; Metazoa; Chordata; Mammalia; Primates; Hominidae. The record is from RNAcentral.
UACCCUAAAGGUGUAAGCAAGUUAUG